RNAcentral lists this long non-coding RNA (438 nucleotides) under Pongo abelii (Sumatran orangutan). Its description in RNAcentral is "lincRNA". The record is from RNAcentral. Lineage: Eukaryota; Metazoa; Chordata; Mammalia; Primates; Hominidae.
UGUGUCGUUCUUUACUGCUGCACACACCUUCCUCCACAUGGUGAAGAUACAUCGCUCCUGACAGCCUCAUGCCUGACUGGACACUGAAAAAGAGGUGAAGAGAUAAGAGGAGACAGAACAGAAGAACAGAAAGAUAAUGAAACUGAGACUAGGUAAGUGAAAGCAUAAUUAUGUAUGCAGCCGCAAGUGGAGCACAAAGCAAUUACUGCUUGUGGAAAUUUGAGAGAUGCUCUUUGAAGAGGUGUGAGGGAAUCAGUAAUACUUGCAGUGACAUUUAAGGAGGUGGAGUGUGCUGAUGAAGAUGCCACAAAGAACUGAUGGGAAGUUAUUCCUCUCCCCAACUGCUAUUGUAUCCUUCCUGUAGUGCUGUCUCUGCUUUUUGCAUCUUGCCCAGUAUAUUAUGACACAAAUAAAAAUUCUCUUUUCAUCAUCUUGCAA